UAUGGCGACCGGCGCACGGGUGAGUAACACGUAUCCAACCUGCCGAUGACUCGGGGAUAGCCUUUCGAAAGAAAGAUUAAUACCCGAUGGCAUAGUUCUUCCGCAUGGUAGAACUAUUAAAGAAUUUCGGUCAUCGAUGGGGAUGCGUUCCAUUAGGUUGUUGGCGGGGUAACGGCCCACCAAGCCUUCGAUGGAUAGGGGUUCUGAGAGGAAGGUCCCCCACAUUGGAACUGAGACACGGUCCAGACUCCUACAGGAGGCAGCAUG
RNAcentral lists this ribosomal RNA (267 nucleotides) under uncultured bacterium. Its description in RNAcentral is "partial 16S ribosomal RNA". It matches the Rfam family "Bacterial small subunit ribosomal RNA", at positions 87 to 353 of the family's 1533-position model. The record is from RNAcentral.